This 396-nucleotide ribosomal RNA is filed under the name uncultured soil bacterium. RNAcentral's name for it is "bacterial SSU rRNA". It matches the Rfam family "Bacterial small subunit ribosomal RNA", at positions 26 to 425 of the family's 1533-position model. The record is from RNAcentral.
AGAUUGAACGCUGGCGGCAGGCCUAACACAUGCAAGUCGAGCGGUAGAGAGAAGCUUGCUUCUCUUGAGAGCGGCGGACGGGUGAGUAAUGCCUAGGGAUCUGCCUAGUGGUGGGGGAUAACGUUCGGAAACGGACGCUAAUACCGCAUACGUCCUACGGGAGAAAGCGGGGGACCUUCGGGCCUCGCGCCAUUAGAUGAGCCUAGGUCGGAUUAGCUAGUUGGUGAGGUAAUGGCUCACCAAGGCGACGAUCCGUAACUGGUCUGAGAGGAUGAUCAGUCACACUGGACUGAGACACGGUCCAGACUCCUACGGGAGGCAGCAGUGGGGAAUAUUGGACAAUGGGCGAAAGCCUGAUCCAGCCAUGCCGCGUGUGUGAAGAAGGUCUUCGGAUUG